UGAUAAUCGAGGUGGUGUUUUGAAGUUU
RNAcentral lists this non-coding RNA (28 nucleotides) under Rattus norvegicus (Norway rat). The record is from RNAcentral. Lineage: Eukaryota; Metazoa; Chordata; Mammalia; Rodentia; Muridae.